This 859-nucleotide long non-coding RNA is filed under the name Homo sapiens (human). RNAcentral describes it as "non-protein coding GAS1RR:7". Lineage: Eukaryota; Metazoa; Chordata; Mammalia; Primates; Hominidae. The record is from RNAcentral.
CUCCAUCUGUCACAAAAAUUAAGGCUAAAUCUCCUCUCCAGAAGCAGAGGGAGCCGGGGCUCCGACGCGCUCAGCGUCGGGCUGUCUGCCUCUCCCUAGAGGCCAAGUGAAUUUGAAAUGGCAAAAGUCACAGCCGGAGGCCCAGCACUAGGAGAUUCCUCCGGCUGCGGGAAAUCUUCCUGUACCUGCUGAAGCUGCUGCGUUCCUCAGAGGCGCUUGGUCUGCCGUGGGAAGCUGCACCUCUGCAGUCCCCAAAACCAAAAUCAAACCUUAAAAGAGCCAGACUGAGGCAGAGGUGCUGAGCAGCUAAUUGGAGGGGAUAGUAUGAGCCUCCAAAGAUUAGGGAAGAAAAUUGCAGUUGAAGAAAACUUGCUUUGGUUCAAUGCAAAAAUAAUGGGAUGAAUGGCAUGCUGAAAUAUCAUAUGACUUACGAAAAUGAUGAAUGGUUUAUUGAAUCUACAUAUGUGGAACCCAUGAAUGGGAGUCGGAGAAGGGGGCAACUGUAUACGCAAAAAGCUAUCAUAAUUGCCAAAAUAGUGAUAACAAUGUUGAAACACUACUGGGAUUACUACUGUUAAUGACUACCAGUGAUCAAGCACCUCCCCUGCCCCAGUGUUUGCCUGCCUUGUUUGAAGACACGAAAAAAUGUACACAAAAUGAUUUAGAACUGUUGAACUUUUCAGAAAAUAAUUUAAAAUCAUCUACCUCAUAACUAAAGGUGAAGGAAAUGAAGUAGAAGGAUGUUACAUACCUUGUUCAAAGUGACAUAGCUGAGUCUGCUUGGACUGUGGUUCAAGCCAUGCAGCCUAACUCUAGAACCCAUGCUUUGCUACCUGACUUUCCAGACGUAGGAGGCAAA